This is a Y RNA of Pongo abelii (Sumatran orangutan), 101 nucleotides long. It matches the Rfam family "Y RNA". From Rfam's summary of the family: Y RNAs are components of the Ro ribonucleoprotein particle (Ro RNP), in association with Ro60 and La proteins. NCBI's taxonomy places the organism in Eukaryota, Metazoa, Chordata, Mammalia, Primates, Hominidae. The record is from Ensembl.
GGCUGGUCUGAGUGCAGUGGUGUUCACAACUAAUUGAUCACAACUAGUUAUACAUUUACUUGUCCUUUUCCACUCCCACUGCUUCACUUCACUAGCCUUAC